Non-coding RNA from Echinostoma caproni, 45 nucleotides. Lineage: Eukaryota; Metazoa; Platyhelminthes; Trematoda; Plagiorchiida; Echinostomatidae. The record is from Rfam.
GCACAGCUGACGAGUCCCAAACAGAACAAAACAGCUGUCCAGUGC